RNAcentral lists this ribosomal RNA (253 nucleotides) under uncultured bacterium. Its description in RNAcentral is "partial 16S ribosomal RNA". It matches the Rfam family "Bacterial small subunit ribosomal RNA", at positions 524 to 776 of the family's 1533-position model. The record is from RNAcentral.
UACGUAGGGUGCGAGCGUUAAUCGGAAUUACUGGGCGUAAAGCGUGCGCAGGCGGUUUUGUAAGCCAGAUGUGAAAGCCCCGGGCUUAACCUGGGAAUGGCAUUUGGGACUGCAAGGCUUGAGUGCGGCAGAGGAGACUGGAAUUCCUGGUGUAGCAGUGAAAUGCGCAGAUAUCAGGAGGAACACCAAUUGCGAAGGCAGCUCGCUGGGACGUUACUGACGCUGAGACGCGAAAGCGUGGGGAGCAAACAGG